RNAcentral lists this ribosomal RNA (293 nucleotides) under uncultured bacterium. RNAcentral's name for it is "partial 16S ribosomal RNA". It matches the Rfam family "Archaeal small subunit ribosomal RNA", at positions 455 to 747 of the family's 1478-position model. The record is from RNAcentral.
GUGCCAGCCGCCGCGGUAAUACCGGCAGCCCGAGUGAUGGCCACUCUUAUUGGGCCUAAAGCGUCCGUAGCCGGCCUCGCAAGUCCGUCGGGAAAUCCAGUAGCUCAACUACUGGGCGUCCGGCGGAAACUACAAGGCUUGGGACCGGAAGGCUCGAGGGGUACGUCCGGGGUAGGAGUGAAAUCCCAUAAUCCCGCACGGCCCACCGAUGGCGAAAGCACUUCGAGAAAACGGACCCGACAGUGAGGGACGAAAGCUGGGAUCUCGAACCGGAUUAGAAACCCCAGUAGUCC